UACGGAGGAUCCAAGCGUUAUCCGGAUUUAUUGGGUUUAAAGGGUGCGUAGGCGGAUUGAUAAGUUAGAGGUGAAAUGUCCGAGCUCAACUCGGGAACUGCCUCUAAUACUGUUGAUCUAGAGAGUAGAUGCGGUAGGCGGAAUGUAUGGUGUAGCGGUGAAAUGCUUAGAGAUCAUACAGAACACCGAUUGCGAAGGCAGCUUACCAAUCUAUAUCUGACGUUGAGGCACGAAAGCGUGGGGAGCAAGCAGG
RNAcentral lists this ribosomal RNA (253 nucleotides) under uncultured bacterium. RNAcentral describes it as "partial 16S ribosomal RNA". It matches the Rfam family "Bacterial small subunit ribosomal RNA", at positions 524 to 776 of the family's 1533-position model. The record is from RNAcentral.